Long non-coding RNA from Suncus etruscus (white-toothed pygmy shrew), 408 nucleotides. RefSeq lists it as uncharacterized. The record is from RefSeq and is a predicted model, not a curated record. NCBI's taxonomy places the organism in Eukaryota, Metazoa, Chordata, Mammalia, Eulipotyphla, Soricidae. The transcript has 3 exons.
CUUCCUGGAAGGUGACUCGGCCCGCCCAAAAAGGGUGGAGCCAGCUAAAUUGUGUCGGUCCCUGAAGCCCAGGAGACCUCCUGCAACUGUCCUGCCUGCCUGCUCUCCCUUCUGGACUUAGGACCUGAUCUAGUGUGGCUUCAUUACGGGACAGUCCCCCCUUCCUGUGAGGUGAUUCGAUCCUCCCAAAGAAGGUGAAGGUGGAGCCAGCUGAACUGUGCCUGUCCCUGAUGCUGAGGGGACCUUCUGCAACUGUCCUGUCUGUCUGCCUGCUCUCCUGCCUGUGCUUCUGCCCUGAUGUAGCUUAUCUUCAUCGCUAGAUGGCCACCCCUUCCUGGGAGAGUGGAGCCAGCUGAACUGUGCCUGACACUGAAGCUCAGGGUACCUUGUGCAGCUGUCCUGUCUGCC